GCCGGGAUGGCGGAACCUGGCAGACGCGCCGCGUUGAGGGCACGGUGGGAUUGCCCGUGCGGGUUCGAGUCCCGCUCCCGGCA
This 83-nucleotide transfer RNA is filed under the name Chloroflexota bacterium. RNAcentral's name for it is "Chloroflexi bacterium tRNA-Leu". It matches the Rfam family "tRNA". Rfam says of the family: Transfer RNA (tRNA) molecules are approximately 80 nucleotides in length. Their secondary structure includes four short double-helical elements and three loops (D, anti-codon, and T loops). The record is from RNAcentral. Lineage: Bacteria; Bacillati; Chloroflexota.